RNAcentral lists this transfer RNA (102 nucleotides) under Coprinellus micaceus. It matches the Rfam family "tRNA". From Rfam's summary of the family: Transfer RNA (tRNA) molecules are approximately 80 nucleotides in length. Lineage: Eukaryota; Fungi; Basidiomycota; Agaricomycetes; Agaricales; Psathyrellaceae. The record is from Rfam by way of RNAcentral.
GCCCGCCUAGCUCAAUCGGCUAGAGCGUCAGACUUUUACGUUGGUAGCUCCGGCUGCGGUACUGGAAUCUGAAGGCUGCGAGUUCGACCCUCGCGGUGGGCU